AUUGAACGCUGGCGGCAUGCUUUACACAUGCAAGUCGAACGGUAACAGGCCUUCGGGUGCUGACGAGUGGCGAACGGGUGCGUAAUGCAUCGGAACGUGCCCAGAGGUGGGGGAUAACGCAGCGAAAGCUGUGCUAAUACCUCAUGUGAUCUGAGGAUGAAAGCGGGGGACCAGGCAGCAAUGUUUGGCCUCGCGCCUUUGGAGCGGCCGAUGUCAGAUUAGGUAGUUGGUGGGGUAAAGGCCUACCAAGCCGACGAUCUGUAGCUGGUCUGAGAGGACGACCAGCCACACUGGGACUGAGACACGGCCCAGACUCCUACGGGAGGCAGCAGUGGGGAAUUUUGGACAAUGGGCGCAAGCCUGAUCAAGCAAUGCCGCGUGCGGGAAGAAGGCCUUCGGGUUGUAAACCGCUUUUGUACGGAACGAAAAGGCUCUGGCGAAUACCUGGGGCUGAUGACGGUACCGGAAGAAUAAGCACCGGCUAACUACGUG
RNAcentral lists this ribosomal RNA (492 nucleotides) under uncultured bacterium. Its description in RNAcentral is "partial 16S ribosomal RNA". It matches the Rfam family "Bacterial small subunit ribosomal RNA", at positions 30 to 507 of the family's 1533-position model. The record is from RNAcentral.